UGUUUCCUAACAGUUAGAUGGAUGGGGUCUGUCCUGUCUGCCCGGAGGAUUUAGCAUGGUGGGCAGGUUGGUAGGCUGGAAUGGCAGAUACCCUUGCCGGACCACCACCUGGGCACAUUUGGACCCCGCAUUGCACAUUUCCUCCAUAGCAGUACUCCAUGACCUGCUCCGUGUUGGUUGGGAAGGCCCUAGGGGGAAGAUGGAUCUCCACUCAUAUGCCCUCGCUGUAAUAUCGUCAUGUCCGUGGGGGCAGAGGGUGAUUGACCACUGUGGGACCCUCGUCCGGCAACUGUCCCAGCCUCUCUCAGGUGUGCUGGGGCAGUAAGGGAGAGCGGGGGACCCCUGCUCCUAGUGCGACUUUUGGCCAGGGAGGACUGUCAUAAGUGUUCCCCGUCUUACUAAAGGCUAAAUACCCCCUUGGAUAUUACCUUACUCACACGGUCAGAGGGAGACCAUAAAUAUUCGUACACACAAAGGAGAAGGUACCAAAAAUUGAAUUCCACAGAUCGUUUAGAACAUUUUUAUGAGUUUUUUAUCUAUUGGAAACUAAUUAAAAUUGCUAGAAUUGUGUAUAUGAAUUGUGUACCUAGUCCAUUUUUUCAGGCCUGCAAGGUAUAGGAGGGUAUACAUCAACUUAUCAUAUAGAUGAGUUAAUCAGUGGAAUUCAAUUUUGGUACCUUCUCCAUUGUGUGUACGAAUCAGUGUUCCCCGACCAAGGCACACCACCGGUGAUGUUGGUUACCCAGCCAACCCAUCUUGAGACACAGACCAAGGAGUCUAUCACUUGGGGAGGUGGAGCAUGGGCAUGUGUGAUAUGACCCGAAAGAUAGUGAUCUAUUCCUGGGCAGGGCAAAGCCGUAGGGGACUCUGGUGUAGUUCCGUAGAAGUGGUUCUGACAUGCAAAUCGGUCAUAUAACCUGGGUAUAGGGGCAUAAGACUAAUCGUACCAGCUAGUAGCUAGUUCCCUCUGAAGUUUCCCUCAGGAUAGCUAGUGCUCAGAUACCCCAGUUUUAUAUGUUAAAGCAAAUGAUUAGAGGUCUUUGGGCCAAAACCAUUGCAACCUAUCAUCAAACUUUAUAUGGGUAAGGAGCCCCGGCCUGCUGGCAUGGAGCCAGGCAUAGAAAUGCCAGUGCCCAGUGUGCCACUUUUGGUAAGCAGAACUGGUGCUGCAGGAUGAACCAACUGCCAGUUUAAGGCGCACAAUGUCGAUGCUCAUCAGACCCCAGAAAAUGGGUUGGUUGAUAUAGACAUGGAAGUCAGAAUCUGUUAAUGAGUGUGUAACAACUCACCUGCCAAAUCAACUAGCCAUUGUAAUGGAUGGUGCUUGAGUGUUGGGACCAUACCCAGCCUUUGCCAGCGCUGAGAGCCAAGGAGACUAAGUCUUAACAAGUGGGAGGGCUGCUGCAGUGCGCACAGUAUCCCGGGGUAUGGGCCCGGUUAGAGCCAUCACAGGUGUAGAUCUUGCUGGUCAUAGCAAAUAUUGAGAUGAGAACUUGGAGGAGGGUACCAUGUCAAAAGCUGUUGAAUAAGGGCGAGUAAUUUCUAAGAGAUGGGUGAGAAUCAUACGAUAGGGACAGGCAAUGGCCUCCUUUGCCCUCAACCAUUGGAAAGGGAGUCUGGGUCAGAUCCCCAAACCUAGAGUGGUGGAGCCGGGUGUCCUUGCGGCUUCCAUUGUGGUAACGCAAACAUUCCCAGAGAAUCCAGGGGACACCCCGGGGAGAGUUCUAUUUUUUGUGAAGGGCAGGGCAGCCUGGAAUGGGAUUUCUCAAGAGAGGCACCUUAGUCUUAGUGAGCAUCCAGUGGGCUCUCACUGGUCCUUGUUAAUCCAGGGGAGAUGGUGUGAAUCUUGCACCAGCCUGUACCCAUAUCUGCAGCAGGUCUCCAAGGUGAACAGAUUCUGCCAUGUUGGAACAGUAUAGGUAAGGGAAGUUGAAAAGUCGGAUACAUAACUUCAGGUUAGGAACUGGCUAUAAGGGCUGGGUGGGUCAGACUGGUGGGUGAAGCAGGGCUCGGCGUGCACCACAGCUGGAUGAGGCAUCAUCCACCCUGGGAUCCCCACCAACUCUGGACAUGAGCCGGGCCCUUCCUGUGGAUUACCCCAGCUGGGGUGGUUGCCUCUCUCAUUCCCCUCCUUGGGUUCGGGCCAGCGUACUGCCUCAGCCGAUACCUAGCAGGUGACUUAGAAAUGGUGUGGACAAGGGGAAUCCAAUGAUUUAAAUGAAACAAGGCAUCAAAAAGGCCUGUGACUGGUGUUGUCACAAUUACUACCCAUUGCUCUGAAGCUGAAUGUCUAGUAAUUCUAAGAAGAACAGGUGAACGGCAGAAGUAACUAUGAUUUUCUUAGGGUGGCCAAAUGCCUCGCCAUCUAAUUAGGGGCAUGCAUUAGGGGCAUGUAUAAAUGGAUGAUGGGGAUUCCCACUGUCCCUACCUACAAUCUAGAGAAACCACAGCCAGGGGAAUGGACUUAAUGGAAUCAUCAGUGAAAGGAGAGAGAUCCCGUUAAGCUUGAUUCUAGUCUGGCACUGUGAGGAGAAAUGAGAGGUGUGGGAUUAGUGUGAGACCCUUGAGCUGGCCGUGUAAUACCUCUAUGUUAUCAUUUUUCACAUACCCAGUGAGGCAGGGGUACAAGCACUGUGGGGCUGUCACUUCUGGCUCUAAGAACCCGGCUCCAGCCAGGCACGCCACGAUCUGGGGACAUAGGCAGGUGGGCAGCUUGACUGGGUCAGUACACCUGUCAAACGAUAAUGUAGGUGUCCUAAGGCAGGCUCAGGGAGGACAGAAACCUCCCAUGGAGCUGAAGGGCAAAGGUUUGCUGUAUCUUGAUUUUCUGUAUGACUACAGACCAUGAAAACAGGGCCUCAAACCUUCUGACUUUUGGGUUUCAAGCAGGAGGUGUCCGAAAAUGAACAUAGGGCUCCCUGUCUUGUGGUGGCCAAGUGUUCAUAGCUAGGUCACAUUUUGAUCCUCCCAUGUCAGCUCUUCCUAUCAUUGUGUAGCAGAUCUCACCAAACAUUAGAUUGUUCACCCACUAAUAGGGAACAUGAGCUGUGUUUAGACCAUUGUGUGACAGGUUAGUAUUACCCUACUGAUGAUGCGUUGUUGCAAUAGUAAUCCUGCUUAGGACAAGAGAAACUGCAUGUUCAGAUAUUUGGUGUAUACUCUUGGCUGAGGAGCUAAUGGAGUGAAGCUGGCAUAUGUGUGAUUAUGACUGAAUGCCUCUAAGUGAGAAUCCCCCCUAAACUGUAAAGGUACCAUUGCACUAUGGAGCAUCGUUUGGCCUAGAAUAGCCUGCCUCUAGGCCAGUGCAUUGCGCUGCUCACCUCGGGACUCGUGUGGAUAGAAAUAUGCAACUUCUCUCAUCCAUAGUGCACCACAG
Molecule: ribosomal RNA, 3376 nt
Filed under: Ambystoma mexicanum (axolotl)
Lineage: Eukaryota; Metazoa; Chordata; Amphibia; Caudata; Ambystomatidae
Description: eukaryotic LSU rRNA
Rfam family: Eukaryotic large subunit ribosomal RNA (bases 355-3376)
Source: RNAcentral